UGGACUACAUGGGUAUCUAAUCCUGUUUGCUCCCCACACUUUCGCACCUCAGCGUCAGUAUCGAGCCAGUGAGCCGCCUUCGCCACUGGUGUUCCUCCGAAUAUCUACGAAUUUCACCUCUACACUCGGAAUUCCACUCACCUCUCUCGAACUCAAGACCAGGAGUUUUGGAGGCAGUUCCAGGGUUGAGCCCUGGGAUUUCACCCCCAACUUUCUGAUCCGCCUACGCGCGCUUUACGCCCAGUAAUUCCGAACAACGCUAACCCCCUCCGUAUUACCGCGGCUGCUGGCACGGAGUUAGCCGGGGUUUCUUUACCAGGUACUGUCAUUAUCAUCCCUGGCGAAAGAGCUUUACGACCCUAAGGCCUUCGUCACUCACGCGGCAUGGCUAGAUCAGGCU
RNAcentral lists this unclassified non-coding RNA (400 nucleotides) under uncultured Paracoccaceae bacterium. RNAcentral describes it as "uncultured Rhodobacteraceae bacterium contains 16S-23S intergenic spacer region". Lineage: Bacteria; Pseudomonadati; Pseudomonadota; Alphaproteobacteria; Rhodobacterales; Paracoccaceae. The record is from RNAcentral.